CCUUGACCUCAAAUCGGGUGAGACUACCCGCUGAACU
This 37-nucleotide ribosomal RNA is filed under the name uncultured fungus. Its description in RNAcentral is "partial 28S ribosomal RNA". Lineage: Eukaryota; Fungi. RNAcentral also lists the same sequence under 1 other name. The record is from RNAcentral.